CAGCCGCCACGGUAAUACGUAGGUGGCAAGCGUUGUCCGGAAUUAUUGGGCGUAAAGGGCGUGUAGGCGGCCUGGGGCGUCCCAUGUGAAAGGCCACGGCUCAACCGUGGAGGAGCGUGGGAUACGCUCAGGCUAGAGGGUGGGAGAGGGUGGUGGAAUUCACGGAGUAGCGGUGAAAUGCGUAGAGAUGUGGAGGAACACCAGUGGCGAAGGCGACUCUCUGGUCUGUAACUGACGCUGAGGAGCGAAAGCGUGGGGAGCGAACAGGAUUAGAUACCCCAGUAGUCCCUGUCUCUUAUAC
This 301-nucleotide ribosomal RNA is filed under the name uncultured bacterium. RNAcentral describes it as "partial 16S ribosomal RNA". It matches the Rfam family "Bacterial small subunit ribosomal RNA", at positions 509 to 807 of the family's 1533-position model. The record is from RNAcentral.